RNAcentral lists this ribosomal RNA (424 nucleotides) under uncultured bacterium. RNAcentral's name for it is "bacterial SSU rRNA". It matches the Rfam family "Bacterial small subunit ribosomal RNA", at positions 355 to 772 of the family's 1533-position model. The record is from RNAcentral.
UAGGGAAUCUUGCGCAAUGGGCGAAAGCCUGACGCAGCGACGCCGCGUGAGUGAUGAAGGCCUUCGGGUUGUAAAGCUCUGUGGGGAGAGAAGAAUAAGUGCUGGUUAACACCUUGCAUGAUGACGGUAUCUCCUUAGCAAGCGCCGGCUAACUCUGUGCCAGCAGCCGCGGUAAGACAGAGGGUGCAAACGUUGUUCGGAAUCACUGGGCGUAAAGCGCGUGUAGGCGGCUUCUCAAGUCGGGUGUGAAAUCCCAGGGCUCAACCCUGGAAGUGCAUUCGAAACUGGGUAGCUAGAGUACUGGAGAGGAAGGUGGAAUGCUUGGUGUAGAGGUGAAAUUCGUAGAUAUCAAGCGGAACACCGGUGGCGAAGGCGGCCUUCUGGACAGAUACUGACGCUGAGACGCGAAAGCGUGGGGAGCAAA